UACAGAGGGUGCGAGCGUUAAUCGGAAUUACUGGGCGUAAAGCGCACGUAGGUGGCGACGUAAGUCGGGUGUGAAAGCCCCGGGCUCAACCUGGGAAUUGCAUUCGAGACUGCAUUGCUGGAGUACGGAAGAGGAAGGCGGAAUUCCCGGUGUAGCGGUGAAAUGCGUAGAUAUCGGGAGGAACAUCAGUGGCGAAGGCGGCCUUCUGGUCCAGUACUGACGCUGAGGCGCGAAAGCUAGGGGAGCAAACAGG
This 253-nucleotide ribosomal RNA is filed under the name uncultured bacterium. Its description in RNAcentral is "partial 16S ribosomal RNA". It matches the Rfam family "Bacterial small subunit ribosomal RNA", at positions 524 to 776 of the family's 1533-position model. The record is from RNAcentral.